GACAUAGGUCGCAAACGUUAUCCGGAAUUAUUGGGCCUAAAGCAUCCGUAGCCGGUCCUACAAGUCUUCCGUUAAAUCCACCUGCUUAACAGAUGGGCUGCGGAAGAUACUAUAGGGCUAGGAGGCGGGAGAGGCAAGCGGUACUCAGUGGGUAGGGGUAAAAUCCUCUGAUCCAUUGAAGACCACCAGUGGCGAAGGCGGCUUGCCAGAACGCGCUCGACGGUGAGGGAUGAAAGCUGGGGGAGCAAACCGG
Molecule: ribosomal RNA, 253 nt
Filed under: uncultured bacterium
Lineage: Bacteria
Description: partial 16S ribosomal RNA
Rfam family: Bacterial small subunit ribosomal RNA
Source: RNAcentral